CCAGACUCCUACGGGAGGCAGCAGUGGGGAAUAUUGGGCAAUGGGCGAAAGCCUGACCCAGCAACGCCGCGUGAAGGAAGAAGGCUUUCGGGUUGUAAACUUCUUUUGACAGGGAAGAGCAGAAGACGGUACCUGCCGAAUAAGCCACGGCUAACUACGUGCCAGCAGCCGCGGUAAUACGUAGGGGGCAAGCGUUAUCCGGAUUCACUGGGUGUAAAGGGAGCGUAGACGGCGACGCAAGUCUGGAGUGAAAGCCCGGGGCUCAACCCCGGGACUGCUCUGGAAACUGCGGCGCUGGAGUACGGGAGGGGCAGGCGGAAUUCCUGGUGUAGCGGUGAAAUGCGUAGAUAUCAGGAGGAACACCGGCGGCGAAGGCGUCUUACUGGACCGAAACUGACGUUGAGGCUCGAAAGCGUGGGGAGCAAACAGGAUUAGAGACCCUAGUAAAU
Molecule: ribosomal RNA, 449 nt
Filed under: uncultured bacterium
Lineage: Bacteria
Description: partial 16S ribosomal RNA
Rfam family: Bacterial small subunit ribosomal RNA
Source: RNAcentral